Molecule: long non-coding RNA, 243 nt
Filed under: Panicum hallii
Lineage: Eukaryota; Viridiplantae; Streptophyta; Magnoliopsida; Poales; Poaceae
Description: long non-coding RNA (PHAL_LNC000974)
Source: RNAcentral
GCAAGCCCCGGACAUAAACCCUACUUUAGUUACACUGCAACCUAUGUUAUUUAUAUCUAUCUCUGCAUUAAGUUCUUAGGAAUUGUAUGAAAAACCCUAGUUGCAUUUUCCUAGGAACCAAUGUAUUGAAUGUUAGCACUUCAGUCCGACUAGCUGCUAUGCUAAUAGGACUGAUAGAAGUCGGGUGAUUCCCUGUCACUCGCGCGAUAUAAGAGUUAUAAUGUUUACAUUCUUGUUAUCACU